Molecule: long non-coding RNA, 622 nt
Filed under: Equus asinus (donkey)
Lineage: Eukaryota; Metazoa; Chordata; Mammalia; Perissodactyla; Equidae
Description: lncRNA (ENSEASG00005025670.1)
Source: RNAcentral
CUGAGUGUGAGGAAGAUUAGGUCUGUAACAGCCCUAGCUGGGUAGAGCAUUCAGGAAUUGAUAGUUGCUGUUAUUUGCAGAAAAUUUUUUUCUGUUUUCUCCACUUGUAAUUCUUUGGGGCGAUACAUACAUUGAGUGACACGGAGUCCCAAAUUCAGAGACGUCUGCUGAGAGUGGGGGUGGCCUAACAUGUGGCCAGUGGAGGAGCCCAUCUCAGUCCUACUUGCCAGGGGCGCCAUUGCUUGGGUCCAAAGCCCCACGCCUCCUCCAGUCUGCGACUUUUGCUUCCACGUGCACGUCUUGUGGUGGCCAUUGCUCCUGGACCCCAAAAGCCAGUUUCCUUCUACCUUGGGGCUUAUGGAAGGAUCACCGUUUCCCAUGCCCUGAAGAACCACACAGCCACGAGACUUGCUGUGGUCUAAGAAGUGAGUGGCGCUUCCAGGUGGAAGCGUUUGAGCUGAUGUGUGUGACUCUCUGUGCACUUGUUGACUUGACCACCAGCUUUCCAAAUGGUGGAGCUUUUGUCAGCCAAGGUCGUAGAGUGAAAAUGACGUGGAACAGAGUCCUUGUAGAUCCGUGACCACGGUCACAUGAGUCAGGAAUAAACCUUCCUUGUUCUGAG